Molecule: ribosomal RNA, 900 nt
Filed under: uncultured organism
Description: bacterial SSU rRNA
Rfam family: Bacterial small subunit ribosomal RNA
Source: RNAcentral
UUGAUCCUGGCUCAGAACGAACGCUGGCGGCAGGCCUAACACAUGCAAGUCGAACGACACAGUGGCAGACGGGUGAGUAACGCGUGGGAACGUGCCCUUCAGUACGGAAUAGCUUCUGGAAACGGAAGGUAAUACCGUAUACGCCCUCCGGGGGAAAGAUUAUCGCUGAAGGAUCGGCCCGCGUUAGAUUAGCUUGUUGGUGAGGUAAUGGCUCACCAAGGCGACGAUCUAUAGCUGGUCUGAGAGGAUGAUCAGCCACACUGGGACUGAGACACGGCCCAGACUCCUACGGGAGGCAGCAGUGGGGAAUCUUGCACAAUGGGCGAAAGCCUGAUGCAGCCAUGCCGCGUGAAUGAUGAAGGCCUUAGGGUUGUAAAAUUCUUUCAUCAGGGACGAUAAUGACGGUACCUGAAGAAGAAGCCCCGGCUAACUUCGUGCCAGCAGCCGCGGUAAUACGAAGGGGGCUAGCGUUGUUCGGAAUUACUGGGCGUAAAGCGCGCGUAGGCGGACUAUUAAGUCAGAUGUGAAAUCCCGGGGCUCAACCUCGGAACUGCAUUUGAAACUGGUAGUCUAGAGGCCAGGAGAGGUUAGUGGAAUGCCGAGUGUAGAGGUGAAAUUCGUAGAUAUUCGGUGGAACACCAGUGGCGAAGGCGACUGACUGGACUGGUACUGACGCUGAGGUGCGAAAGUGUGGGGAGCAAACAGGAUUAGAUACCCUGGUAGUCCACACCGUAAACGAUGAGUGCUAGUUGUCGGCAGGCAUGCCUGUCGGUGACGCAGCUAACGCAUUAAGCACUCCGCCUGGGGAGUACGGCCGCAAGGUUAAACUCAAAGAAAUUGACGGGGGCCCGCACAAGCGGUGGAGCAUGUGGUUUAAUUCGAAGCAAACGCGCAGAACCU